AACGAUGAAGCUUCUAGCUUGCUAGAAUGCUGAUUAGUGGCGCACGGGUGAGUAACGCAUAGGUCAUGUGCCUCUUAGUUUGGGAUAGCCAUUGGAAACGAUGAUUAAUACCAGAUACUCCCUACGGGGGAAAGAUUUAUCGCUAAGAGAUCAGCCUAUGUCCUAUCAGCUUGUUGGUAAGGUAAUGGCUUACCAAGGCUAUGACGGGUAUCCGGCCUGAGAGGGUGAACGGACACACUGGAACUGAGACACGGUCCAGACUCCUACGGGAGGCAGCAGUAGGGAAUAUUGCUCAAUGGGGGAAACCCUGAAGCAGCAACGCCGCGUGGAGGAUGAAGGUUUUAGGAUUGUAAACUCCUUUUGUUAGAGAAGAUAAUGACGGUAUCUAACGAAUAAGCACCGGCUAACUCCGUGCCAGCAGCCGCGGUAAUACGGAGGGUGCAAGCGUUACUCGGAAUCACUGGGCGUAAAGAGCGCGUAGGCGGGAUAGUCAGUCAGGUGUGAAAUCCUAUGGCUUAACCAUAGAACUGCAUUUGAAACUACUAUUCUAGAGUGUGGGAGAGGUAGGUGGAAUUCUUGGUGUAGGGGUAAAAUCCGUAGAGAUCAAGAGGAAUACUCAUUGCGAAGGCGACCUGCUGGAACAUUACUGACGCUGAUUGCGCGAAAGCGUGGGGAGCAAACAGGAUUAGAUACCCUGGUAGUCCACGCCCUAAACGAUGGAUGCUAGUUGUUGGAGGGCUUAGUCUCUCCAGUAAUGCAGCUAACGCAUUAAGCAUCCCGCCUGGGGAGUACGGUCGCAAGAUUAAAACUCAAAGGAAUAGACGGGGACCCGCACAAGCGGUGGAGCAUGUGGUUUAAUUCGAAGAUACACGAAGAACCUUACCUAGGCUUGACAUUGAGAGAAUCCGCUAGAAAUAGUGGAGUGUCUGGCUUGCCAGACCUUGAAAACAGGUGCUGCACGGCUGUCGUCAGCUCGUGUCGUGAGAUGUUGGGUUAAGUCCCGCAACGAGCGCAACCCCCUUUCUUAGUUGCUAACAGGUUAUGCUGAGAACUCUAAGGAUACUGCCUCCGUAAGGAGGAGGAAGGUGGGGACGACGUCAAGUCAUCAUGGCCCUUACGCCUAGGGCUACACACGUGCUACAAUGGGGUGCACAAAGAGAAGCAAUACUGCGAAGUGGAGCCAAUCUUCAAAACAUCUCUCAGUUCGGAUUGUAGGCUGCAACUCGCCUGCAUGAAGCUGGAAUCGCUAGUAAUCG
RNAcentral lists this ribosomal RNA (1256 nucleotides) under Helicobacter sp. 'liver 1'. RNAcentral describes it as "bacterial SSU rRNA". It matches the Rfam family "Bacterial small subunit ribosomal RNA", at positions 65 to 1344 of the family's 1533-position model. The record is from RNAcentral. Lineage: Bacteria; Pseudomonadati; Campylobacterota; Epsilonproteobacteria; Campylobacterales; Helicobacteraceae.